CGGAGGAGGGGGAGGAGAAGAAUGGGAAGGAGAAGAGAGGAUAGGAGCUUGUAGUAUUGCUGUUCCCUUCUGCUUCCCUUUCUUCUUUUUCCCCCUUGAUGAUUUUUCUUCUUCUUCUUUCUGCUAGCGAGUAGUACCUUUUUGUUGCUUGUCUUUUGCCCUUAUUAUUUUCUUGUGUCCUUGAUUGGUUUGUGAAGUUGGACAGCAAGGCCAUUCUGUUGGUUGAAAGAGAUACAUAUAUCAGUAUACUUCUUUGUUUGCUUGCUCCAUACAAAAUUCCCCCCUUCAUUGUGUCGCUAUACUGACGAUAUUCUCGCAUGAUCUUGGCUGAGAUCACACACGGUGCAAAAGUUUACCUUGCGUCUUUGGCUCACCAGCAUCGAGUUUCCUUAUGAUUCCGUCAAACGUUUCUGAAGAAAAUGGAGUGCAAGAGUACGAAAAAUAGCUGUGGAUUGAAGAAUACGGCAUCGUUUCAGAAAGGAAGGGAAUGGAUUACAGUUGCAGUGCAGGGAGUCUUCACGAAGAAGAUACUGGUAGGAGAAAGUAGUCUACAAAAGGCUGGGAUGUGAUGAACACGUAUUUCUGUUCAAAAUUAGAAUGAUG
Molecule: long non-coding RNA, 603 nt
Filed under: Hordeum vulgare
Lineage: Eukaryota; Viridiplantae; Streptophyta; Magnoliopsida; Poales; Poaceae
Description: long non-coding RNA (HVUL_LNC005748)
Source: RNAcentral